GAUUUAAAUUUUAAAUAAACAGGUGAUUUAGGUAUAAAUAGUGCCCACUUCGAGUCUUCACUGCCAUAUUAUACUGCAACUUGGAAAAAGCCGCGACUAUGAUUUCUAAAUCUACACUCCUGACAUGCGUGAUGGUGCUGUGCGCUAUCCUGACGUACGCCUCUGCAUUACCCGAACCCGGACGAGUCCCACCUGUAGUAGCCGUAGCGUCACUUAUAAGGCAAAACGUAUAAGGCGAAAUACUUGGUUACAAAUUGUUUAUUUAAAAAUACAGUUUAAUAAUUCAUGCUAAAAGAAACAUAAUAUGUAGGUACCUGCAUUAAUUUAAAAAAAUAAAGUUACAAAAUACACAUUAAAAGUAAUAAUAUUAAUGGUUUUUUUAUUCAGUACCAAAUCCUUUUUACUAAAUUAUUAUCAACACUUAGAUAUAAAUAAGCUCAUCCCCAAAACACAUUACCACUCCUUUCCGUCGCGCAGUCGGGUAAAAAGUAAUUAUAGCAAAAGAUAUAACAUCACCCUGCAGCCAAUAGGGGCGGAGCAGUUGAGGAAAAAUGCAAAAACGGGAAAUAUUGUUCAAACUAUUUUCACGCGUACAAAGUCGCAGGCACAGCUAGUCUAACAUAUUAUCAUAAUGUUGAUCACUAAUCAAAUAUAUUAUCAUAAUGUUAAUGAUCAAAGUCAAAUAGUAAUAAAAGUUUUAAAAAACUGUUUCUUAUUCGAGAAAUAAUAACCAGUCUUGGAUUCAGGUGAUUUAGGUAUAAAUAGUGCCCACUUCGAGUCUUCACUGCCAUACUAUAUACUGCAACUUGGAAGAAGCCGCGACCAUGAUUUCUAAAUCUACACUCCUGACGUGCGUGAUGGUGCUGUGCGCCAUCCUGGCGUACGCCUCUGCAUCACCCGAAUUACCUCCACCCCGGACACUUAUAGGAGGGCAUACAGUAGGAUAAGGAGAACUAUAUUAUUACAAAUUAUGUAUUAAUAAAAAUACAGUUUAAAUAAUCAUGCUUAACGAAACAUCUGUACCUGCACCAUUUUCAGAAAUUAAAGUUUACAUAAUAUAAUUAACAGUAAUAGGUAUUAUAUGGUUUUCUUAUUCACUACCAAAUCCUUUUUAAAAACUAUCAUCAACACCUGGCACAUGUACCUAAAUAAGUUCAUCCCCAAAGACAUUACCACUCCUUUGCAUCGUGCAGUCGGGUAAAAAGUAUGCAAUUAACUAUAGCAAAAGAAAUAACAUCACCCUGCAGCCUAUAGACAGAUAGAAAGUAUUUAUUUCUCUCAAAACAGGUUUCAUUUUACAGUUUAUCAAUAAGAAAAAUGUUGCAAAAACGGGAAAUAUUAUUAAAACAGAUUAAAUCUAUUUCCACGCGUACAAAGACGCGGGCAUAGCUACUCUAACAUAAUAUUAUCAUAAUGUUAAUGAUCAAAGUCAAAUUUUAGUAAUAAAGUCUAAAAAAUAUGUUGUUAUUCGAGAACUAAAAAACCUGUCUUGGAUCCAGAUGAUUUAGGUAUAAAUAGUGUACACUUCGAGUCUUCACUGCCAUACUAUACUGCAACUUGGAAGAAGCCGCGAUUAUGAUUUCUAAAUCUACACUCCUGACGUGCGUGAUGGUGCUGUGCGCUAUCCUGGCGUACGCCUCUGCAUUACCAGAACCCGGACAAGUCCCACCUAAGGCUACGGAGACACUUCUAGGAGCCCAUAUAGUAGGAUAAGGCGAACUAUAUUAUUACAAAUUAUGUAUUAAUAAAAAUACAGUUUAAAUAAUCAUGCUUAACGUGCAUCAUUUUCAGAAAUUAAAGUUACAAAAUAUAAUUAACAGACAUAGGUA
Molecule: long non-coding RNA, 1829 nt
Organism: Ostrinia nubilalis (European corn borer)
Lineage: Eukaryota; Metazoa; Arthropoda; Insecta; Lepidoptera; Crambidae
Exons: 4
Source: RefSeq, a predicted model, not a curated record